Ribosomal RNA from Halobacillus sp. BAB-2008, 114 nucleotides. The record is from Rfam. Lineage: Bacteria; Bacillati; Bacillota; Bacilli; Caryophanales; Bacillaceae.
UGUGGUGGUGAAGGCGAAGAGGUCACACCUGUUCCCAUGCCGAACACAGCAGUUAAGCUCUUCAGCGCCGAUGGUAGUCGGGUAGAUCCCCGUGAGAGUAGGACGCUGCCACGU